GUCCCUUUCGUCCUGUGGUUAGGACAUUGUCUUUCCAUGUCGAAGACACGGGUUCAAUUCCCAUAAGGGAUA
Solanum lycopersicum (tomato) is the source of this 72-nucleotide non-coding RNA. Lineage: Eukaryota; Viridiplantae; Streptophyta; Magnoliopsida; Solanales; Solanaceae. The record is from Rfam.